RNAcentral lists this long non-coding RNA (314 nucleotides) under Ricinus communis (castor bean). RNAcentral describes it as "long non-coding RNA (RCOM_LNC002904)". The record is from RNAcentral. Lineage: Eukaryota; Viridiplantae; Streptophyta; Magnoliopsida; Malpighiales; Euphorbiaceae.
UAGGAUCACCAUUUAAUAACAAAGAAUAGGAGAUAACUAUUACACAUCUCAUCACCAACUUAAUCCAACCAAUCUUACACAUAAUAGAUUUUAAAAGAUGCCACUCUACCUUAUUAUAUGCUUUGCUCAUAUCAAGUUUAAGAACCAAAUGACCCUUUUUAUCCGAUUUCAUUUUUUCAUAGAGUGGAAAAUCUCAAAAGCUGCCAUGGCAUUAUCAAUUAUCAAAUGUCCCGAAAUGAAACCACUUUGAGCAUUGGAAACGAUAUUAGGUAAAAUCAGCUUAAGUCUAUAUAGCAAUGACUUUAGUGAUAAUG